This 69-nucleotide transfer RNA is filed under the name Batracomorphus curvatus. RNAcentral describes it as "tRNA-Leu". Lineage: Eukaryota; Metazoa; Arthropoda; Insecta; Hemiptera; Cicadellidae. The record is from RNAcentral.
UUUAAUAUGGCAGAACAUAUGCAAUGAAUUUAAAAUUCAUUAAUAAAUAAUUUAAUUAUUUUAUUAAAA